RNAcentral lists this ribosomal RNA (324 nucleotides) under uncultured bacterium. RNAcentral's name for it is "bacterial SSU rRNA". It matches the Rfam family "Bacterial small subunit ribosomal RNA", at positions 201 to 507 of the family's 1533-position model. The record is from RNAcentral.
GGAGGGGGAUCUUCGGACCUCUCGCUAAUAGAUGAGCCCAGGCCGGAUUAGCUAGUUGGUAGGGUAAAGGCCUACCAAGGCGACGAUCUGUAGCUGGUCUGAGAGGAUGGCCAGCCACACUGGAACUGAGACACGGUCCAGACUCCUACGGGAGGCAGCAGUGGGGAAAUCUUGGACAAUGGGCGCAAGCCUGAUCCAGCAAUGCCGCGUGUGUGAAGAAGGCCUUAGGGUUGUAAAACACUUUCAGCAAUGAAGAAGCAUUUCGACAGUAAUACAGUUGUUGUGUUGACGUUAAUUGUAGAAGAAGUACUGGCUAACUCUGUG